This 3310-nucleotide long non-coding RNA is filed under the name Homo sapiens (human). Its description in RNAcentral is "HSALNT0343880". The record is from RNAcentral. Lineage: Eukaryota; Metazoa; Chordata; Mammalia; Primates; Hominidae.
AAAAAGACAAGAAAACAACUAUACCAAAAUUGGCUACGAAUCAGGUGCAAGGGCACAUAAAAGAAGCAGCAAUUAUUUCUGAUCAAAGGAUUAGAGAAGAAUGUGCACAGAAGGUGACACAGAAACUCAGCUUAGAAAAAUGUAUAUUUGCGGGGAGAUAAAGGGGAAGGUAUUACAAUGUGAGGCUGUAUAAGAUUCCAAAGCACAGAGAUAUGAAUGUGAAAGGCUUAAUUUGAGAAAGACAAAAUGUUCAUAGUGACUGAAACUUGUUAGCAGAACUUGCAUAGUGCUAGCUCUAAAGAGAAGUUUGGGCUCGGUUUAGAGGGACUUUGGCUGCCAUACUAGGGAGUUUGGAUUCCAUUCUACAGUGUGGAGGAAGAUUUUUUAAAAGCACCAUUUAGUAAACACUGUGGUUGCCUCCUCAACAUCUAUUCCCUACACUACCCCUAUUGUCCUUUCUAACCAAAUCCAUUUUUUUUUUAAAUCAGAUAAUCCACCUCUCCUUUAUGAGAUUCAGGGGACAAUGAAUUCAUCUCCAUUUCCAAGGAUAGAUCUGUAUUAGCUUAAAUCAGGCAGGCUAACUCAUACUUCUUGUGCUUCCAUGACAGACUCUUUCUGGGUUAUACGUAAUAAAUAUACAUAAACAAUAUUAUACUUCAUUGUCCAGCAUAUACAAGAGGCAAACACAAAUCAGAAAUAUUAUCUUUACCAGUGGUACAUGAGUCCAUUUUUUGUCAAAUAGAGAGCAAUUGCUGCAGUAAUUGCAGUUUAUCACUAAGCCAGAUGCAGGGGUUACUCAUACAUAUGCCUUCUAAUUGUGGGCUACUAUUAAUAGUCACUGGCCUCCUUCUUAAAUUAUUUUCAGUCAUGAGCUUAACUUAAUGUGGUACCAUAUAUUCUUUCUUUUAAGGACCUUAAGAAUCUGGGAAGAAUUAGCCACACUCUAAUUUAGGAACAGAGAUGGAUGAAUCCACCUAUGGACAUUUACUGGUAUGAGUCACUGGGGAAGUUCACUAAGUCACUAUUUAAGAUGAUCCAGAACAGGUGUCUACAGCUGCCUUAAGAAUGAGUACUAUGGUGGUGAUGAAAAUGUUCCUCUCAGAUGUCCAACUGCAGGGGGUGGGUAUGAAAUUGCCAGAUGGCCCCAGCUGGUGUGCUCUGGAAUCCUUGGCGCCAAGGCCAUGCUGCCAGGGGCUUCUCCAGGCUGGUGAUCAAAUGUAGUGAGGAUCCUCAGGCAGGCCCAUUCCUGGAAGACAUGGGACUCUCCCGAUAGGUCGGCUCCAAGGCUACACAAGCAGCAAGAAGAAAAGGAAAAACUCUGUUUUAUUAAAGCUCCACUUGCCUAUCUACCUUGGUGGAGGGUCAAGAAAAGGUUUAUAACCUAUUUGCAGGUUUUAGGCUCCUGUUUGCAGCACAGAAACCACAGACAAUAGAAAUUCAGACUCAGUGGUGUGGCAGAAGAUAAAAUAAUUUGGGUUAUUUCUGUGAUAACAUGGGCAAUCUGGAAACUACUCCCAUUUGUGAGGGUAAAUCUCUAUUAUGAUACAUGGAAAAUAGGACAGAUGCUAAUUCAGGUAAGAAAAGGUCUUUGUAUUAUACAAAUAUUUACCUUCAGACAGAAAUGUUAAUGAAGAUGGAGAAGGAACAGUUACCAAGAAACUAGGGAUAGUAGGACACAAAAAACCUGGUAACCUGGUAGUGAGUAUGAACCAGUCUGGUGCCUUGCCUCCAGAGGAGCAGCAACUGAGCAGAGCUACUGGACAACCAGCCCUGCACUUCCCUAGAGCACAGACCAGCUCACUAUGCAGCCACCAAGAGAUAAGCACCGAAGGAGAACCUACCAGCCAUGGAUCCUCAGAAAACAGACCAGCUAAGUGCCCAGCCUUCAGGGGACAAGCAGCUGAGUGGGCAUACCAGCCACACAAACUUCUGCAGCCAAGGCCACUGAGGUACUUGCAGGCACCACUGACAUUAACUACAGCUAAAGAAGCUGCAUGGAGACUACACUACUGCAUCCACCCAGAACAAAAACAAAUGUACCUUACCCAACCAACAUGCUAGGACACAUCUGCAGGUGUAAGUCUUUUCCGCUGAAAGUUAUGCUACCAAGUUAGAAAAGGUGAUUAUUCCAUCAGAUGCACAGAUGCCAGUGCAGGGAUACAAGAAACAUAAAAAAGCAAGGGAACAUGACACCACCAAAGAAACACAAUAAUUCUCUAGUAACUGACCCCAAUAAAAAAAUAAAAAUUUAUGAAUUGCCUGAAAAGGAAUUCAAGAUAGUGAGCCUAAGGAAACUUGGUGAGACAUGAAAGAACACAAACGGAUCAUUCAACAAUCGGGAAAAACAGUUCAUGAUCUGAAUGAGAAAUUCAACAAAGAGAGAGAUAUCAUAAAAAAGAACAAAAUAGAAAUCUUGGGGCCAAGAAAUUCAAUGAAUGAAAUAAAAAAACGCAAUUGAGAGCUUCAACAGCAAAAUAGAUCAAACAGAAGAAUUUUUGAACUUGAAAACAGGCCUUUUGAAAUAGUCCAGUCAGAGGUAAAGAAAAAAAAAAAGGAAUGAAGAAGCCUAUGGCAUUUAUGGGACACCAUAAGUGAACAAAUGUUUGCAUUUUGGCAACUUAAGAAGAAGAGAUGAAGAAAGGCAAAGAAAGCUUAUUUAACAAAGUAAUAGUUGAAAACUUCCCAAGUCUUGGGGAGAUAUGGACAUCCAGAUCCAUGAAGUUCAAAGGAUCCCACAAAGAUUCAACUCAAAGAGGUCCUCUCUGAGGCAUAUAACCAAACUGUCAAAAGUCAAAGACAAAGAAAAAAAUACUAAAAGCAGCAUGAGAAAAACAUCAAGUCACAUAUAAGGGAAUUGCCAUUGGACUAUUAGCAGAUUUCCCAGCAGCAACCUUGCAGGCCAGGAGAGAAUGGGAUGAUAUAUUUAAAAUACUAGAAGAAAAAAAGCUGCUAGCCUAGAAUACUAUACCAGCAAAUCUUUGCUUCAGAAAUGAAGGAGAAAUAGUCUUUCCCAGAUCAGCAAAAGUUGAGGGAACUCAUUACCACUGGACCAGACUUACAAGAAAUGCUUGAGUAUUUCUAUUGGAAAAAAAAGUUUUCAUGAUAAUUGCUACCAUAAAAAAACAUGAAGUAUAAAUCUCACUGCUGGAGAUAAAUGCAUUAUCAAAUUCAUAAUGCUUCAUUACUGCAAUGGUGAUAUGUAAUGUUUCAAACCUCUAGUAUGAAGGUUAAAGGCCAAAACAGCUGGGUGCUGUGGCAUGUGCUUGUAGUCCCAGUUAUUUAGGAGGCUGAAAUGGAAGGCUCAUUUGAG